ACCAACAGAGUGCUGUGAUUGGCCCACCAAACCAAUAGAGUGCUGCGAUUUUGAUUGACCAAUUCAGAGCCGUGGCCAUAUUUGUUUCGCUCUGUUGCAUUCUGCCCAUCGGGCUGAUAGAGUGCUGGGAUAGGGCCACCAAACCAUUGGAGCACUGGAGUGCUAGAUGUCGGUCGACAAGGCAGUCUGCCAUUAUAUUGUUGAAGAACUCCAUAUAAAAAUAUACAUAAAACAAUAUAUCGUUUUUCUAAUUAAAGAGCAAGUAACGUCUAAAUUAACUUUUUUUUUGCUGAUGAACUGUAUAAAUGAGUGUCUAAUAGUGUUUUAAAUGUGUGCAUUCUUUAUUUUAGCAUUUUGGUGCAUUUUCUUUAAAAAUUAAAAAUUCUGUCUAAAAACCACAGUAAUGCACCACCUUCAGCUGAAAACAUAGAAUUUGAGUCAUUUUGAAUAAAUUUUAGCCAAUGGCUAAAGAGUAAAAUACUACGUAAACCAGUAGAGUACUACGUAGCAGCUCCGUGCCAAAGUUAUAAAAGCAACGAGCGUCUCGGCCACGCCCUGUGGCGAGUGGGAGUUGGAUUUGCAAGCGAGCGUAGGAGGUCAGCGGUAGUUCAGCAUUAGCAUAUAGCAUUAGCAUAUCCUAGUCUUUAGCAUAUAUUUUAGUGUUAUAAAUACUUAUUUAGUGUUAGAUUUGGCUGUUGGAUAUUGUAGUUUAGUUAGUGUUUGGCUGUUAGUGUAAUUGGGAAAGUAGUUAGGGUUUAGUGUUCCAUAUCGUCUUAGUAUUGGUGAGUAGGUGUAGAGUAGUAUGCUUGCGGUGACUCUGUGGGCAUUUUACCCGCGAUUCUGCACGUCUCCGUUUGAAGAGGGAGGCUGCCCACCGUGGCUCUUCCGCGAUUUAGAUGCAGCCCACCGACUCUGCUCCCCCACCACGGUGGGCUCCAGUCUGAGGUGAGUAAGCUAAAUAAACAUUUUAACAUCUUCUAAAGACAAUUCCCUACCUAAAUGCAAAGUCUGAGAGACGUGGUUCACUUCCUUUAGCUAGUCAGUCAGCAAUUCUGCAACAGUGGCUCUAACUGACGUGAAAUCCAGCUUGUGACCCAGUUCUGUAAGGAAUUUUGUUCAGGAGGUCACAUUUCAGGCUCUCCACAUCAUGUGUGACUGACUUUUACGUUAUAACAACGAUCACACACUAGGAAUGUUAUAAAGUGCCUAUAUAGGAGAUUCUUUUGUAUAUUAUCUGACUUUAUAAACUCCCAACAACAAUGUGCUUCUAUUUUUUUUUUCAGGCUAAAUCUACCCAAGACACUGGCUGUCAGACUGAUUUAGCUGCAAGAAUGUACUUGUCCAGGCUGACGUGAAACCUUUCCUGUAGCAAAGCCAGCCAGAAUGGAGUUCACAGCCGCAGUGUGUCUUGUGACCCACGGGGACCAUGAUGAAAAUUCAUCUUCCAGAAGGUCCCAGAGCAGCUGCCACACCCCCUGAAAAGACCAAGGUGUGAGGUGUCUGCUGUUGAUUCCAGCUUCCACCUCAGUGACAGUGCAAGCUCAGUGAACUGUUCAAGGUAAAAAAAAAAUUUAAACAUUUCAGAAUUUUUAAGAUAUUAACAAUUAAAUAAGUAUGUGAUUACAUCAUGACAUCAUGAAGGAGGCUACUGAUUCUGCCCCCGUGACACUUGGUGGUGACGUGUGAGCUGAUUCACCUGGAAAACAACUUUUACAUUAAAUAUUUUGUUUUUGCUAUCAAAAGUAAAUUAACUAAUAACCUGCAUUAUUGCAGGACACUCAGCAAAAUAUGGACUCUACACCAUGAGGCAGGCACACGUUAAUAACUCUGUAAGAGCACAUAAGGUGAGCAACACCACAUAUUGUACACUGUCCUGAAUUUGUUUUCUUUCUGCAUCUCAUUAGCCUGGCUGAUCACCUGAUAACUCCUGUCAUCUGGUUAUGACAGCAUGAGGAUGUCCUCACACACCUGUAACCUAUCAGCUCAUCUGGCAGAAUAGAGAGAGAAGAGACAACACCACAUCUCCUGUUCCUGGAAAGCCUUCAGCCAUCCUUCGAUGACUGAGAACCUCCAUCAGCUCUGUCUCCUGUCUGCCCACAAUUAUUAUAAUAAAUAUUGUGUUUGACAAGUUU
Nothobranchius furzeri (turquoise killifish) is the source of this 2132-nucleotide non-coding RNA. Lineage: Eukaryota; Metazoa; Chordata; Actinopteri; Cyprinodontiformes; Nothobranchiidae. The record is from RefSeq and is a predicted model, not a curated record.